This 207-nucleotide ribosomal RNA is filed under the name uncultured bacterium. RNAcentral describes it as "partial 16S ribosomal RNA". It matches the Rfam family "Bacterial small subunit ribosomal RNA", at positions 1294 to 1500 of the family's 1533-position model. The record is from RNAcentral.
CGGAUUGUAGUCUGCAACUCGACUGCAUGAAGCUGGAAUCGCUAGUAAUCGCGAAUCAGCAUGUCGCGGUGAAUACGUUCCCGGGUCUUGUACACACCGCCCGUCACACCAUGGGAGCUGGAAAUGCCCGAAGUCAGUGACCCAACCGCAAGGAGGGAGCUGCCGAAGGUGGAGCCGGUGACUGGGGUGAAGUCGUAACAAGGUAAC